This 75-nucleotide transfer RNA is filed under the name Rhodospirillaceae bacterium. RNAcentral describes it as "tRNA-Val". It matches the Rfam family "tRNA". Rfam says of the family: Transfer RNA (tRNA) molecules are approximately 80 nucleotides in length. The record is from RNAcentral. Lineage: Bacteria; Pseudomonadati; Pseudomonadota; Alphaproteobacteria; Rhodospirillales; Rhodospirillaceae.
GGUCACUUAGUUCAGCGGUAGAAUGUUCCCUUGACAUGGGAAAGGUCGCAGGUUCGAUCCCUGCAGUGACCACCA